RNAcentral lists this signal recognition particle RNA (304 nucleotides) under Microcebus murinus (gray mouse lemur). Its description in RNAcentral is "Metazoan signal recognition particle RNA (ENSMICG00000036199.2)". It matches the Rfam family "Metazoan signal recognition particle RNA". Rfam says of the family: The signal recognition particle (SRP) is a universally conserved ribonucleoprotein. It is involved in the co-translational targeting of proteins to membranes. Lineage: Eukaryota; Metazoa; Chordata; Mammalia; Primates; Cheirogaleidae. The record is from RNAcentral.
GCUGGACCUGGUGGCCCGUGCCUGUAGUCCCAGCCACUCGGGAGGCUGAGGUGGGAUGGAUCGGGAGGAUCGCUUGAGCCCAGUUCUGGGCUGUAGUGCGCUAUGGCGAUCGGGUGUCCGCACUAAGUUCCGCAUCGAUAUGGUGACCUCCUGGGAGUCGGGGACUACCAGGUUGCCUAAAGACAAGUGAACUGAUCCAGGUCAGAAACAGAGCAGGUCAAAACUCCCACACUGAUCAGUAGUGGGAUCGCGCCUGUGAAUAGCCACUGAACCCCAGCCUGGACAACACAAUGAGACCCUGCCU